UGGGGUGUAGCUCAAUUGGCAGAGCGCCCGGCUGUUAACCGGGAGGUUGCUGGUUCGAGGCCAGCCGCCCCAG
RNAcentral lists this transfer RNA (73 nucleotides) under Gemmatimonadota bacterium. Its description in RNAcentral is "tRNA-Asn". It matches the Rfam family "tRNA". From Rfam's summary of the family: Transfer RNA (tRNA) molecules are approximately 80 nucleotides in length. Their secondary structure includes four short double-helical elements and three loops (D, anti-codon, and T loops). Lineage: Bacteria; Pseudomonadati; Gemmatimonadota. The record is from RNAcentral.